Long non-coding RNA from Aricia agestis (brown argus), 241 nucleotides. RefSeq lists it as uncharacterized. The transcript has 3 exons. NCBI's taxonomy places the organism in Eukaryota, Metazoa, Arthropoda, Insecta, Lepidoptera, Lycaenidae. The record is from RefSeq and is a predicted model, not a curated record.
UUCUAGUGAUACAAUUGUAUAGAAUACAUCCGGUCGAGGAAAAUGAAGGCAGAUGCCGUUGACGUACGGAAAAGAUGGCAGGCUAAAAUCAAUCUUCAAGAAACAUUAAAGUCUUAAAUGCAUGAUUAUGGAAUAUUAAGAGCAUUUUGUACGUAACGUGGAAUAAUAAAGAGUUUAAAACAUAAGUAUUGAAGUAAGUCAAAAAAGGCCAAAAAAAUCACGUUUGUUGUAUGGGAGCCGC